This 1338-nucleotide ribosomal RNA is filed under the name Staphylococcus aureus. RNAcentral describes it as "partial 23S ribosomal RNA". It matches the Rfam family "Bacterial large subunit ribosomal RNA", at positions 867 to 2205 of the family's 2925-position model. The record is from RNAcentral. Lineage: Bacteria; Bacillati; Bacillota; Bacilli; Caryophanales; Staphylococcaceae.
GCUUUAGGGCUAGCCUCAAGUGAUGAUUAUUGGAGGUAGAGCACUGUUUGGACGAGGGGCCCCUCUCGGGUUACCGAAUUCAGACAAACUCCGAAUGCCAAUUAAUUUAACUUGGGAGUCAGAACAUGGGUGAUAAGGUCCGUGUUCGAAAGGGAAACAGCCCAGACCACCAGCUAAGGUCCCAAAAUAUAUGUUAAGUGGAAAAGGAUGUGGCGUUGCCCAGACAACUAGGAUGUUGGCUUAGAAGCAGCCAUCAUUUAAAGAGUGCGUAAUAGCUCACUAGUCGAGUGACACUGCGCCGAAAAUGUACCGGGGCUAAACAUAUUACCGAAGCUGUGGAUUGUCCUUUGGACAAUGGUAGGAGAGCGUUCUAAGGGCGUUGAAGCAUGAUCGUAAGGACAUGUGGAGCGCUUAGAAGUGAGAAUGCCGGUGUGAGUAGCGAAAGACGGGUGAGAAUCCCGUCCACCGAUUGACUAAGGUUUCCAGAGGAAGGCUCGUCCGCUCUGGGUUAGUCGGGUCCUAAGCUGAGGCCGACAGGCGUAGGCGAUGGAUAACAGGUUGAUAUUCCUGUACCACCUAUAAUCGUUUUAAUCGAUGGGGGGACGCAGUAGGAUAGGCGAAGCGUGCGAUUGGAUUGCACGUCUAAGCAGUAAGGCUGAGUAUUAGGCAAAUCCGGUACUCGUUAAGGCUGAGCUGUGAUGGGGAGAAGACAUUGUGUCUUCGAGUCGUUGAUUUCACACUGCCGAGAAAAGCCUCUAGAUAGAAAAUAGGUGCCCGUACCGCAAACCGACACAGGUAGUCAAGAUGAGAAUUCUAAGGUGAGCGAGCGAACUCUCGUUAAGGAACUCGGCAAAAUGACCCCGUAACUUCGGGAGAAGGGGUGCUCUUUAGGGUUAACGCCCAGAAGAGCCGCAGUGAAUAGGCCCAAGCGACUGUUUAUCAAAAACACAGGUCUCUGCUAAACCGUAAGGUGAUGUAUAGGGGCUGACGCCUGCCCGGUGCUGGAAGGUUAAGAGGAGUGGUUAGCUUCUGCGAAGCUACGAAUCGAAGCCCCAGUAAACGGCGGCCGUAACUAUAACGGUCCUAAGGUAGCGAAAUUCCUUGUCGGGUAAGUUCCGACCCGCACGAAAGGCGUAACGAUUUGGGCACUGUCUCAACGAGAGACUCGGUGAAAUCAUAGUACCUGUGAAGAUGCAGGUUACCCGCGACAGGACGGAAAGACCCCGUGGAGCUUUACUGUAGCCUGAUAUUGAAAUUCGGCACAGCUUGUACAGGAUAGGUAGGAGCCUUUGAAACGUGAGCGCUAGCUUACGUGGAGGCGCUGGUGGGAUACUACCC